Molecule: ribosomal RNA, 442 nt
Filed under: uncultured bacterium
Lineage: Bacteria
Description: bacterial SSU rRNA
Rfam family: Bacterial small subunit ribosomal RNA
Source: RNAcentral
AACGCGAAGAACCUUACCUGGGCUCGAACGGCUGGUCAACGGGGGUGGAAACGCCUCUACUCCGCAAGGAGGUCCAGUCGAGGUGCUGCAUGGCUGUCGUCAGCUCGUGUCGUGAGAUGUUGGGUUAAGUCCCGCAACGAGCGCAACCCUUGUCCUGUGUUGCCAUUCCGCAAGGAGGAACUCGCAGGAGACCGCCAGCGAUAAGCUGGAGGAAGGUGGGGAUGACGUCAAGUCCUCAUGGCCUUUAUGUCCAGGGCUACACACGUGCUACAAUGGCCGGUACAAAGCGCUGCUAAGCCGCGAGGUGGAGCCAAUCGCAAAAAACCGGUCUCAGUUCGGAUUGCAGGCUGCAACUCGCCUGCAUGAAGCUGGAAUCGCUAGUAAUGGCGUAUCAGAACGAUGCCGUGAAUACGUUCCCGGGCCUUGUACACACCGGUAUCUC